UGGCGGGCGGGGGAGUAAUGUCUGGGAAACUGCCUGAUGGAGGGGGAUAACUACUGGAAACGGUAGCUAAUACCGCAUAACGUCGCAAGACCAAAGAGGGGGACCUUCGGGCCUCUUGCCAUCGGAUGUGCCCAGAUGGGAUUAGCUAGUAGGUGGGGUAACGGCUCACCUAGGCGACGAUCCCUAGCUGGUCUGAGAGGAUGACCAGCCACACUGGAACUGAGACACGGUCCAG
This 235-nucleotide ribosomal RNA is filed under the name uncultured bacterium. Its description in RNAcentral is "partial 16S ribosomal RNA". It matches the Rfam family "Bacterial small subunit ribosomal RNA", at positions 96 to 334 of the family's 1533-position model. The record is from RNAcentral.